UCCGCGCACGCGCACGACGCCGCAGGCCCCGGCCCCGGCCCGCGGCAGCUGAACGGCAGAGCCUGUAGCUGCACAGCUGUGCUUCCACCUGGCGUUCAGUACCUCGUGCCCGAGAGCGGAAAAGGGAAAUCGCGAGCGGAGGACCGAUGUGCUGGCCACGUGGGCCCCGCCGGGCCGACUCCGGACCCUGCUGCCGCCCAUUCCUCCGGUGCAAGGGACCUGGAAGUGAUCCCGGUGCCGCUCUGCUCCCACCAGCUAGGGAGCAGAGGCGCGGGAGGGAAGGGGCGUCCCGGGGGUCGCCAGCACGCUGCGGGCAGGGCUGGCAGCCGCCUCCACGCCCCCGCGCUGGAAGCCUCGUCUUUGUAACAUCGAGGUAUCCUGUAACUAGAUGGGUCCUGGCCUGCGGAGGUAGUUUCCCCUGUGAAGCCAGGGACUCAGCCAGGAGCGUGAGGGGACCCGGAUCCUGAGUCUCCAAGCCGCCCACUACCCUCUGCUUUACCGGAUGGAACUCAUCAGUAACUAGGUAUCUUUAAGGGCGGCUCCCUGGCGCGCUCUGAGAGUUACGGAAGUCCCAAAAUGCUUUGACCGAAAACGUCUAAACAGUGAAUACAUAAAGCAAAAAGCCGCGUGGGAAAUUCGAGUCCCUAGGAGCGCCCAGGGGACGCCUCUGGAGGUGGACUGCCACUCACUCCAGGCCACGCUGGAAUGCCCGCACCAGGGAGGCACUGCACUUGAAUUGGGGACACUUUUUUUUUUUUUUUUCAUUUUUACCUUUCAUUCCCUUUUGGACAAUCCAGACAGGAUAUGUCUCUCCCUAGGGUGGGGAUUUCGACUCCUUAGGGUGGGAGUACAGCCGAUGAAGAGUUAAGGAGAGGAGUGGGUAGAUCUAGAUCUAGCCUUGGGUGGGUGGGGGCGGGGUUGGAGGAGCUCAGAGCACUGGCCCAGCGCUGCCCCCAACUUGCUGUGUGCUCUUGGACAAGUUAUCUCCCUUCUCUGGGCUUCAGAUAACCCAAGGAUCCUUACAUAUCUUUAUAGCUACAAAGCCCUGUGAGGUUUUGAAAAACUUCCUUGGUACCCAAAACCAGGUCUGAGGCACAGUCAGUGAAUACCUGUUUAAUGAAUGCAUGCAUAAAUGAAUGAAUGGAUGAUCCAGCUCUUCCUGGAGCAGGCACGACUUCCACAGAAACAGAGCAAACGCUAGCCGUAAGCAGAAAGAACGUUAUAGCUCCAGCGCUGAAUGAGACAUCUUUGAUUCUGUGGUGAUGCGGACUUUGUGCCUCUCUGUGAGGAAUCACUUUGUUCCAAUGACGCAAUUUUCCUCACACUCCGGAAGUGUCCUGCACUGCCAGAAUCGCCCAGCUUCCCGGCACACCUAUCAACCAGUCGUUCCCAGCACUGCCCAGUAUGCAGCCUCCAGGCAGAGGGCCUGGAUGUCUUGGCAGGUGUUUCCGAAAAAUCCAAUCCACCCUCCAAGGUGGAAAGUGUGCCAUCUCUGCCCAUAAUCCAAAUGGCGUGCCUGAGGCAUAGAAAGCAGCUUUCAGGGAGGCCUUCCUUCCUCUGAGCAAUGGUGGCAUCAUCAGAAAAGUGGAGCUCCUCCAAAAGGAUCUGCUGGAAGCAGAGGACGCCCAUGUCGCCUGGUGACUCCCUCUGACCCAACAAGUUGCAGCACCUCUGCUGGGCUUUGCCACUGCCCCAUUUUUGCCAGAGCCUCACCCUGGUGGGGCCCCACCUCUGGGAAGCCCCAGCGCCUGCAAGAUUUUUUCCUCUCGUGACAGGGAGCAGCAUGCGGAGGGCCCUUGCACAACCUGGGUCUUCAGGAAGUUCCUUGCCCAGGUGUUGGCCCAGCUCUCUUCAUGGUUCCAAGAAGGCUGCCCCAGGAAGGCUUGUGGACAGAGGGAGAAGCAUCUCUUCCUCUAUGUCUCUUUUUAUCUAAGAAACCAGUUUGACCAGCAUCCUUCCCCUCGGCUCCCCAGGAGGAAUGCACGGAUCCCUUCGCCUUCCCCCAUCCCUCCAUGGUUGACUAAACCCACUAGGAUCCACUCUUUUGCGUGGAAAUGGGUUCAGGCCUCCCACGAAGAGCAUGAAGAUGCCCUCUGUUAUGGGUUACAUUAUGUCCCCUGCCCCCGAGACCGUAUGUUGAGUCCUAACCCUAGUAUUGCAGAACGUGAAUUUAUUAGGAGAUAGGGUCUUUAUGGAGGUCAUUAAGUUAAAUGAGGGUGUUAGGGUGGGCUGGUGUCCUGAUAUAAAGGGGAAAUUUGGGGCUGGGUGUAGUGGCUCACACAUAUAAUCCCAGUGCCUCGAGAGGCCAAGGCAGGAGGAUUGCUUGAGGGCAGGAGUUCAAGACCAGCUUGGGUAACAUAGGGAGACCGGUAUCUAUAAAAAAAAUUAAAAACAAAAAAAUUAGCCGAGUGUGGUGGUGCAUGCCUGUAGUCCCAGCUACUCAGGAGGCUGAGGUGGGAGGAUCGCUUGAGUCCAGGAAUUUGAGGCUGCAGUGAGCCAUAAAAAGAUGGGGGACGAUGGAGACGCACAGGGAAAACACCUUGUGAAUGCGGCAGAGAUAAGGGUGAUGCCUCUACACACCGAGGAACUUCAGAGACAACCAGUAAGUCACUGGGAGCUCGGGGAAGGCACAGCGCAGAUGCUCGCUGCCCUCAGAGGGAAGCCAGCCCGCCAACCCCUUGAUCUCAGACCUCUGGCCCCUGGAACUGUGAGAUGAUAGAUUUCUGUCGUUUAAGCACAGUGGUGCUGUGUUAUAGCAGCCCUAGGGAACCAUCCACUAUCAGAACAAAAGCAGGGCUGGACUGCUAGAAGAAAGGAGAGGAGAAUGGCAGAGGAUACCCACCUUGGGGCUGAAUCUGAGAUCACUCCAGGGCUCCCCAGGUUGUUUUGAAGAAUGGAGAUGGAUUUGUGCAGGGCUCACUGUAGAAGCUCAGUGCAGCAUGCGACGCUUAUAAGGCUGCAAUCCCCAGAGCUCAGUCCCUGAAGAGCGCUGCAUUCACAGACAUCAGCCAGCAGACAAACCAGUACCUAUUGUCCCUGACCCCCAGAAUCCAGCAGACAUAUAAAAGAUGGUUGUUAACCCCACUAAGUUUUGGGGUAAUUUGUUAUGCAGCCAUGCAACUGAAAGAAGCAGCUACAAUAUUUUUAUAAUGAAAUUCUUAGCCAGGACCCUCAUAGCCUAGCAAGAAGUUCUGUCUGGAAGAGCCCAGCUUUGGGGUUGGGUAUGUCUGGGUUUUAAUAUGUCAAGAGGGCAGGCCCUGGAGACGGAGCACAUGGAUUUGAAUCCCAGCCUCUCAUAGGCAGGUUAAUUAAUUUCCCUGAAUCUCAGUUUCUUCAUCUCUCAAUGGAGAAAAUAAUAGAAGCCACCUCACGGGAAUUAAAUGAGAUUAUUUACGCACAGCACCAAGGCUGUGGCUACUGUAUUUGACCCCUGAAACAGUUAAUUUUUCUUGACAUCCCUUCCUUGGUAUAUGUAUUAGUCAGGGUUCUCUAGAGGGACAGAACUAAUAGGAUAUCUCUCUCUCUAUAGAUUUAUAUAAAGGGGAGUUUAUUAAGUAUUAACUUACACAAUCACAAGGUCCUGCAAUAGGUCGUCUGCAGGCUGAGGAGCAAGGAGAGCCAGUUCAAGUCCCAAAACUGAAGAACUUGGAGUCUGAUGUUCGAGUCCAGGAAGCAUCCAGCACAGGAGAAAGAUGGAAGCUGGGAGGCCAGGCCUGACUCUCCUUUUCAUGUUUUUCUGCCUGCUUUAUAUCCGCUGGCAGCUGAUUAGGUGGUGCCCACCAGAUUAAGGGUGGAUCUGCCUUCCCCAGCCCACUGACUCAAAUGUUAAUCUCUUUUGGCAACACCCUCACAGACACACCCAGGAUCAAUACUGUCAGUUCAAUCAAGUUGACACUCAGUAUGAACCAUCGCAAUACAAUAGGAUUACUUUCUGUGAUAACCUGUGUAAAAAUAGGCAGUCAUGAUUUUCCUGUUGUGUUCUUCAGGUGUAAAACAAAAAAUUUUAAAAGAAGAAACUUCAAUUUUAAAGAUAUUAUUCAAACUAAGUUAAACAUUUUGUGUAUAAAUUAAAACAAUAAAUUUUGUUUGCAUGUAUCAAACAAAAAUAUUCCAUCUUGCAGUUAACAUUUUCACUGUUUAAAUUUUCAACACCAAAAUCCCAUGUGUAAUGAUGGAAUUUAACUGGUUAAAUGCUGCCUCUUUGCCUUCACAAUCACAGUGGUACUGUUUCUUGCAAAUGUCAUGAGAGUUGGAGAUAUGUCUUGCUCCUGUUUUGGGCGCAAAGGUGAGGUGGUCAGUUGUUGGUCUGGGACUUUCAGUGCUAAAAUCAGAAAAGUCCUGGGUGAACCGGAACAAGUUGGCCCGCCAGCUGAAGGACUGAAAAAACUUUGGACACUUUCCCAAUGAACACGUAGCCAAAUCUGUGUGAAUCAGAGGCCAGCUGUGGAACCAGGAGUUCUCUGAAUUAAUUUAGGUGCGGAAUAUGUUUAUGAAAGGACAACUAAUAAAAACCUGAAGUUCACAU
Molecule: long non-coding RNA, 4525 nt
Filed under: Homo sapiens (human)
Lineage: Eukaryota; Metazoa; Chordata; Mammalia; Primates; Hominidae
Description: HSALNT0027291
Source: RNAcentral